This 9228-nucleotide long non-coding RNA is filed under the name Heterocephalus glaber (naked mole-rat). RNAcentral describes it as "lncRNA (ENSHGLG00000050715.1)". The record is from RNAcentral. Lineage: Eukaryota; Metazoa; Chordata; Mammalia; Rodentia; Bathyergidae.
CGCCGAUGUCGUUGAGGGAAACAGCGCAGCGGGGCCAGCUCAGGCGCAGCUGCCGUUCCCGGCGGGCGAGGGGCGCAGAGGGCGGCGGCGGCGGCGGCGGCGGCGGCCGAGGAGACCGGGCUGGGCCCGGCGCGCGGCGAGGUGCCAGAGUUUGCAGCCUGUUGGGGAAAACCAACAUCAAGGACCAGUGCUUUGAAUGGACUACAGCCCAAUGGGUCUGUCCCAGUGCUGCUCCUUUACUGAGACAGCACUGCGGAGUGCCACCCUGCUUGCUAUGCACAGCUGCUCUGUGGAUUGAAGAUGAAGAUUCGGUGGAGUGAAGGACUGGAGGACUCCUGUGACAUUUUACUGCAGGCAGGGAAGGUGAGUAGUGUGGGAAAAAGGAAUGGCAGAAACCACGGCCAAGAUCUGUCUGGACUUCAGGGGACUCGUGCACAUGAGCUUGGCAUUCUCUCAGGGUAUAGAUCUUGUUUUAUUUUUCCUCAUUUCCCAGAUCUGAUGCAGGCUUUGCCUGACAGUUAACAAACGGUGUCAAGUGGGUGUGCAGUGUGUGCUGUAGGAAAUAAGGGCUCACUAGGACCCUGCUGGACAGGCCUCCCACCGGCUCCCACUUCUCUGGAGGGCCUAGCAGACAGCCACCAGCAGGAGCAGCCUCUCAGGACGCCCAGAGCUGCUGCCUGCCAGCCCUUCGCACACGAGCCCUGCUGACAGGGCUCAGACAGGGUUCCUUUCUCCUCUCCAAGCUGAACGUGGCCAGUCCACAGUUCCUUAACAUACUGACUGUCCCUCCAGUCUGGAGAGGCACAGAAGGAUCCAGGUGUCGUCUGGACAGGCAGAGCAUGGAUGAGGAUUGAAGAUUUAGGUCUGCAUGCUUCCUUCGGCCGUCAGUGUGGCUUCCAGUGCUGCAGGAAGGCUCAGGGUUGCUGCCCGUUGUCUUUCUUGCUUUGGUGUUCUCGUGGCCUUUAUGUAGGUAUAUUGUGCUAUAAAACCUCAUGUUGUAGGGCUGGGGACUUAGCUCAGUGGUUCUGCCUCUUACCUUGUAAGUGCAAGGUCCUGAGUUCAAUCCCCAAUACCAAAACACCCCCCAAAAACCAAACCUCAUGUUGUAGUUCUUGUGAGCAGAGUAGUUUUCCCUCCACAAUCCUGGAAACUCCCCGAAGGCAGCUGGCUGGUGGUGGGCACUCCAUUAAAUGUUAGCUAGUACUAUUUGCUUUGUUAUUUUCUCAUUGCAAUGGAUGACGUUCAUAUCAUUUAAUGAGCAUGUGCUGUGUGCCAAAAACUGCUCGAUGCUGGAAUGCAGCCCUACCUGCGGAGCUCCCAGGCACUUGGGAAGACUGGUUGAUUGGAUGAUGAAUCCUGGUUGUAGUCCCUGUGAUGAACACCUCUGCUGUCAGACAUCACUGGCUGCCUUCUGUGUGCUCAACUUAGAACGCAUCCUUCCUGUCCUGGAAUAUAAGUGGCUGAAGAAGACACCCCUAUGGGAGAAAAUUCCCUGGACUUUUUAGUGAACUGGCUAGGAGUCGAGUCCUAGCUCUGCUGCAAACCCACUUUGUGCCCAUGGGUGAGUUACUUGACCUCUCUGAGUUUCAGUUAUCUUAUCGAUGGGGUGAAAUGGGGUGAACAAUUAUCCCUCAGAGGCACAAGAGGAUCAAACCAGGUCACCACACUGCAGAAGUCCAUGGCUGCCGUUCACAGUUUAGCCUUUCCAGCCUCUGGUGACUGGGACUCAGGGUGAGCACUCUUUCACCUGCAACCUGAAGUUAAGAGUCAGUAAAAGCAGCUAUUGUUACACAGAAGUUAGGGGGAAGCAGGGGUCAGGGCAGGGCAGUAGGCUGGCCAGGCUUGGCCAGGCUUUGUUCUUCAAGGAAGGGCAGGGCUCUGAGAAGUGUGGACUGUAGUCAGGCGAAGGCCAGGCAGCAAGGACCUCGAGGCAUGUCUAGGAGAAGCGGCUGGGGAGUGAGGGCUCAGCAAGCUGCACAGGGAGUGGGCCCUUCUCUCUAGGAGCAGCCUGGUUAGGACCAAGGUGAGUGCUUCAGGCACCAAGUUGAGAAGAUCCAGACAGCGUCUCGACCAGCACCUUGUCUUCUCAGGCAGACAAGCUGGGAAGUUGUGAGUCUCCAAGGCCACAAGCCCAGGCCCGAGGCCAGAGCCCGGACUCCUGCCUGUGCAGAGGCAAGUCCAAGUCCAGACAGCUCCUCCAGCCUAGUUCAUGGCACUGCAGCAGGGAGCCCUGACUCUUCUCCUAUGUAUAGCUAUAAUUUUUUUCUGAUUGUAAAAGGAAUUUUUAUUUUUUUAUUUAUUAUUUAUUUUUGUUGUUGAGACAGCAUCUUGCUCUGCAGUCCAGGCUGGCCUUGAACUCAAUACUCACUAUGUAGCUGUGGGUGGCCUCAAACUCAUGGCAAUCCUCCUGCCUCAUCCUCCUGAGUGCUGGGAUUACAAGCAUGUGCUACCACAGCCAGUUUGUAAAGGAAUUAUAAAUCACUGUAAUUAUAGGGCUUUUUUUUUUUUUUUUGAGACACGGUUUCACUGUAUAGUUAAGACUGGCCUUGAACUGAUUAUGUAGCCCAGGCUGUCCUCGAACUCAUGGCAAUCCCCCUGCUUCAGCCUCGCAAGUGCUGGGAUUAUAGGUGUGCACCACCAAGCCCUGAAUUGUUUUUUGUUUUUUUGAGACAGAGUCUCAACUAUGGAAGUUCAGGCUGGCCUUGAACUCACUAUGUGGCCCAGGCUGGCCUUGAACUCAUGGUGAUCCUCCUGCUUCAGCCUCCUGAGUGCUGAGAUUACAGACAUGAGCCACUAUGUCUGGCUUGGGCUUUUAAACUAUAGAAAUAUAAAGAAGAAAAUAUAGUCACUUAUAACCCACUAUCCAGGGACCAUGAGUAUUACAGUGUAAUUCCUUUCUCUACAUAUUACACAUAAAACUAUAUAUUAUAUAUUCAUUAGAUUAGAGUUGUAUGUAGUUUCAUGUUCCACCUUUUCCAUAUAAAAUUGUGUGUUUUCUGGGAAGGAAGGACUGUUUUUAAUGCAGACGGAACUCUAGAAAACAUUUUCCUUAAAAACAAAAAAAUAGCGAGCCCAUUCUUCAGCGGCCGGAGGAUAUCCUGUGGAGCAGUGCAGCGCCCGGCCUCCCAUCCUGUGUGAACUGCAAGGCAGCGGCUGUGGCCCUGAGGCCCUCUUCUCUCCCAGGCCAGGCUGCGCCUCCUGCUCACAGUUCUACUUUUCCUAAGCCAAACUGGAGGCCAGGGCACCGAGAACGUCGAGAUGGCAUAUUUCCAGAGUGUGGAGGAGACAGACUGUACCGCAGGAGCCUGGAGCCAGGCCCCAAAGGUUCUGCUGGCUGUCCCAGGGGCCUGCCCUUACGACAGCCCACCCGGGACAUCUCGGAGCUUGUAUCUCUGCUCAUCAGAAGUUGGAGGAGUGGGUUCGAGGGGGCAGCUGUUUCCUAUAAAAAUGUCCAGUAGAGGUAAUGUCCUUGGGACAAACUCUUUUUUUUUCUAUACUGGGGAUGGAACAUACAGCCUUCACUCUGAACUGUAUCCUCAGCUCCCUUUAAAAAAAAAAAUUAUUUUGAGAAAGGGUUUUGAUAAGUGCUAAAUUGCCCAGGGUGGGCUCCAACUUGCAGUGCUGGCCUCCCAAAGUACAGGGAUUACUGCUGGACACGAUGCCCGGUUGGUCAUCCUUUUUUUUGGGGGGGAGGGUACCGGGGAUUGUACUCCAGACCUUGUGCUUUCGAGGCAGGCGCCGGAACCACUGAGCUAAAUCCCCGGCCCUGGUUGGUCAUCCUUUUUGACACCCAAGCUAAGGAGGCUCAUUCUGUGCCUGAGGCUCCAGUGUCUCGCAUUCUGCCCGCUGGAAUACGGUCUCUCAGAGGGGCUGUGGAGCCUCGUGUGGUCGACUCCAACCAAGGUGCAGGCAUUUGGGGAGCGUCGUCCCCAGGUAAUUCCUGUGUGUCCAUUUCCUGUUACUGAGACAAAUUACUAUAAACUUGGUGUCUUAGAAAAACACACAUCUAUUUUCUUAAAGUUCUGAGGGCCAGAAAUCCAAAAUAAGUCUCAGUGGGCUAAACUCAAGGUGUCAGCGGGAAUGUGUUAAUCUCCACCGAGGCUCUGUGCCUGUCCCAGGGUCAAGAGGCUCCACGCGUUCUGCCCUGUGGCUCCUUCCUCUGACUUCAAGUCCAGCAGUGGCUGGUCAGGACUUCCACAUAAUGCCAUCUCUCAGAUUCUACCUCUCCUGCCUCCCUCUUCCCUGUUUAAGGAGCCCAGUGAUUACAUUGGGCCCCCCAGACAAUUUCUCUGUUUCCCACUUCCAGCAACCUUAAUUCUCCAUUGCCACGUAUCAUGGCGCAUCCACAGGUCCCACCCACUUGGACGUGGACAUCUUUAUUCCACCAUGGACCGUUAUUUUGCACACCCAGCCAACCUCUCCUGUGGCUUUUCCAAGGGUCUCAUCCUCAGGCAUAGACAGUGGGCUGGGCCAGACCAGUCGGGAUGUGCCCACCACUGGCAGAGAGGUCCUUUCUGCCCAGACACCCUCCCUGCUUUAGCUCACCUCCUCUUCUCUCAUCCUCUGCUCCCCCUCUGGCGUAGAGGGAAGCUGGUGAGGCUAGAUGCGCCGCGGGAGCCCAGGGAGCUGAGCCCUCCCCGGCCAGACAGCCUGUCUUCCAGGGGCUGGAGCCAGAGCCCAGCCUUUGCGGUCGCGGACUCACAGUCUGAGGGCAGUUGCAGGGUCGGAGGGGCAGGCAGGCACAUAUCGGAGACACACGUAUCCCCUGUGCCUCUCGGCCUCCCUUCCUCAGGUGACAACAGCCUGUCUACCCUCCGGCACUCGGUGGUCCUUUUUGGGGCUGGGACCUUGAGAGGCUCCCAAGGAGGGGAGGCCCCCAUCAAAUCUGUCCCUGGGUACUGGUGAGGACCUGGGGGAUCCAGGACCCCAGCAAGAGGUCUCAUCAGCACAGCAGAGCAAAGCAGGAGGAGCUGGACAGGGCCUUCGGUCUUCAAGUAUGGUGACCAGUUGGGCUUGGUUUGCCUAAGACUUUCCCACUUUGAGCAGUGGGGGUCCAAGCCCUGGAACUCGGUCAGAGCAAACCGAGACAGCUGGUCACCCUGUCUCCAGGGCCUUUAUCACAUUCUCUUCCGCUCUGGGUCAUCUCCGCUGCUACACAGCCAGCUCUUUGGACUCCUGGAUACUAGAAAGACCUGGGGGCUGAGGAAGGACCCCAGGCCCACGCCAGAAAGGAGCAGGCUCUUGCCCCAGCAAGCCCGGCAGAGGAGCCAUCAACAGUGAAGACCAAGCUGGUGUCUGCGGGGCACAGAGCUCCCAGGAGCAGUGUGCGUAAGACGGUGAAAAGGAAACCUCUAAACACUUAGCAGCCUGGUCACUUCUGAGUGGUGGAUUGCAGGUGGCUUUCAUAAAUACUUUGAGUUCCCCCUCUGUAUUUCUUCCUCUCUGUACAAGUAAGCCAUGUUCUUUCUGUAUGUUUUUAAUAAAAGAAAGCCAGUGGUGACUCAGCCAUCCAUCUCCAGUCCUGCUGAGGGACACGAGCAGUUGUGCUGGCACCUGUGACCUUGGCUGUGGGCUGGUCAUGGCCCCAUUCUGCCCGAAGCUCUACUGCAAGGGCAGGGAAGCUACUCCUCCGUGUCCUUCGGCCCCACAGUGCACCCAGGGUCCAGCCUGGCUUGUUCCCUGAGUGAAGACUCAAAAGCCUGAUGUGCUCUCUCUUGGCAGAGCAGGGGUGCAGGUGCUGAGGACACACAGGAUGUGGCUGGCCAUUGGGAGAUGCUCUUGAGCACCACUCUGGACUGAGAAUGAUGGGGAGAGGAGCUCUUGCCUCCAGGCAGCUGGCACCUGGUUGGAGAGCUCGGGUUACCCCACAGACCAUGUGGCGCAUGGUGGACUGGAUGAGGCCUUGCCUGUGAGGAUUGUCCGAGGUCGCAUAGGGGAGACCCAGGAGCCUCACUGCACUUGUCUUAGAAUGGCCAGAGGCCAAAACAGGUUUUCUUGAGUGACCUGAGGCAGCCCCCCAAGCUCGGGGUAAAUGGUCUCCCCCUCCCAGAACUCGCUGCUGGACACUUUGUGACAGAAGAGUGGCAAGAACAGUCAGCAAGAUGUUCCACUCUUAGACAGCUGGGCACCCUUGGGCCCUCCUCCUUGCCCUCUCCCCUCGUAUUCUUUGGGAGUGCCAGGCUCUAGACUUCCUCUGGCUGCCUCCGUCUGGUCUCCUGAUACCAAGCAGUUCUCUCCACCCCAAGCCCAGCAAGAGCACUUGGAAGGGAGCCCUGGGUCUCCAGUAGAGGCAGCCACCCCUCCACCUCCUACAUACAGGGCCAGCAUUCCCCACCCUAGUCCACCCUAGUCCACCAUUGUCCUGGUGAGGCCAACAUGUGACCUUGUUCAUUGUUUUGGAAAAGUAGUAAGUGUUCUGGCCUAAUGAUCCCUCCCUAUUGAACCCAGAACCCAAGCACAACUCCAUGUUCACACAACUCCCUUGACCCAGGAAGUCAGCUUUCUCAGAGAAGCCUGGCAUGUGCUUCCCCCUCCUUGCCACACCCUCGCCCCUAAGCCAAGAUCCUGCUCUAUCCCUUCUCCCUAAGCAAAGCUGCAGCUGAGUGUUUUUACUACUUUCUUUUUUUUUUUUGGUGCUGGGGAUCGAACUUGGGUCCUUGCGCUUGCACAGCAAGUGGCAAAACCACUGAGUUAAAUCCCCAGCCCCUAAACUGAGUGUUUUUAAGUGCUAGGGAAGACCUUGCUAGUCCUGCCUCAAUUCUGGGCAGAUUUGGGAAUCUGAACGUGUGAGGGAAAAGUGAUAGCAGAAUUGGACACUCCCCACAUCCAUGUGGUUUUUAAGGGAAAGAGGACAGUAGGAACGGAGACAGGGAUUCAGGCCAGUUCAGGAUUCGGCCACACAAAGUAGUGAGGGCCCCAACCUGGCGACCUCUUGGCUGGCUAUGGAGGCUGGGCAGGCCUCCCCUGAAGGGAAGGUAGUAGUGAGCUCUGGUGUCUACCUGGUGUGGCAACUAGCAUCUGCCUUGGGUGCUGCAGUUUCUCAGGAAUUAGACCCACUAGAGGCACAGGGCCUGAGCCCGGCCCAAGGCUAGGAGUUAGGAUGCACCUCUGAGUGGUCCAGACCUCUGAGGGACCCCAGAGGCCAAAACCGUCUGGCCUAGGGCAGAAGAGCUGGCUUCGCAGACAGAAUUGUGUCUAAAAAGUCCCCUUUGACCCCUAGAGCUGAGACCUACCAGGCCAGAGUCCCCUAGAGAAAACGGACUGUGUAGCUAAGCUGCUCCCUGCUCUGAGGCCAAGUAUCAAGCCUGUCAGGUCACAGCCCUGGCCUUGGCCUUCAGAACUGCAUGCAGGUGGCCUCCCGGGUAGAGGUGGGGAAUCACUUCUCUUGGGGCCCAAGCCAAACUCCACCACACUGGGGCCCUGGGGCCUGUGGCGGCAGAGCCAUAUUGUCUGAAGUACCAGGAGGGGCCAGGGGCGCUGAUGCCAAGGCGACACAGCAGCUGAACCUUUGCUGUCUUCCGUCAAGGUCUCCAGAUGCCUUCUUGUCAUAGGUUCCUAGUGCCCUGUCCCUUGCCGGCACUCCCCAAAUUCCCCCCCAGGCUUCAGUUUCUUCCUUUGUAGGCAGCCUGAUCUUGUAGAACCCACCUGUGUUCUGGGCAUGGACAGGUGUGGGUUGGAAUCCAGCUGAGUCACCCGUCGUGGGCAAGCCCCUUGUGCGUGCUGAGCAUGGUUUCCUGGUCUGUGAAUGAGGCUGGGGGUGGGGAGCUGUGCCUGAGUGACAGUGCAAAGGGGAGCUUGGCACAGUCCCUGGUCCCAAGGGAACACUCGGGUCUGUUUCAUUAUCCAAGCAGAUCUGAGGUCUGCUCUAGUUCUGCUCCUUUCCAAGCUGCAGACUGCACUGAGCCCGCAGAAGUGGGGGCUUCUUCUGCAACUGCCCCCCCACCACCAGAAAAGCAGCAGAAAUGGACCUUUGGGAGCCGCCUGGAGCCAGGAAAACCACAGCCAGCCAGCUAGGUCUUCCUCAGACUCGACCCCACAAGGGAGCUCUGGCCGGCGAAGCCGCCUUCCACCCUGCCACGUACCUUCACCUCUGGAAAAGGAGCACACCAGCGCCCCAGGCUCUGGUUUCUGUAAGAGCUGGUGAAAGUGGGGAGAGACCAGUGCUGAGUUCAGAUGGAUUUUACACAUCUUCCGUGUGGAGAGUGAGUGGUUGCCUCAGUUAAGACACAGCAUCACGUAGGUCAGACGAAAGUUCCUUGUUGGAUGCUUCAGCAGGGCUGUGUGGAGGAAACUCCGACCCCAUGCAAGAGUGGAGUUUUGGGUCUGGGCCAACAGUGAGAAAGACGGCCCACUGGUCGCAGAGAAUGACAACUUGGGCAUGACCCAGCUCCAUGGACUAGGUGGCAUCACUCCCAGAGAAAAGGGCUCCACCUGCAACCAAGCUCAAGGCUUUUCCCAGGAUUUCAGCUGGGCCCUGGGCAGACCCCACUGGAGGCUUCCAGAGACCGGGAGCAAGCUCUUAUGUGUGGAGGCAGGGUGACCACAACACCCUAUACACGUGCAUGGAGAGAUGCUGAAAGCUGAUACUCUAAGAAGGGAUGAUUUUCACAUUAGCCUUCAGCUUUCAUCCUACUGCAAGUAGCUGAAUAAAUAAACCAACCCGAUUAAAGUAACACCUUUGGAAUAAAACAAGGAAACUCCUCUGGCUGAUGAGAAAUGCCCUCCAGUGUCUGUAAACUUGGUUCAUCAUGGGUGUGCCUGAGACUAGCUGGUGUACCUGAAAUCCCCCUUUGAUACUUUACCCCAUUGCAAAGUGGCCCUCAAUGACCAUAAUGUCACAGUAAUCCCAACAAAGCUCAUCUUUCAAUGACCUCCUAGCUCCUUCAACCAAGAACUUCCAUUCUGAGUGCUUAGAUUGAAAAUCUUGGGAAUUACCUACCCUUAGGAAGCACUGACAAGUCCUGAAUGAUCUUAAACUUUUAGGCCCAAAUUUGGUUCAGAUUAUACUGAGGCUGAUCCUUUCCAGACUCUGUUUGCUAAUGAGAUAGUCCCAGCUGCCAUCACCUUUAGGUCUGACUUCUAGGCCUGGGCCGAGGUUCACAGUGAGAUGUGAUGCGACAGCUCCCUAUCCUGUUAGGUCGGUCCCUAUCACACAUGCUCUUCCCUGGAGCCCAGCUGCCUUGCAAUUUUGGGUGCAGAGUUUUAGGUUCCUUCUCUGGACAUUCCAAU